RNAcentral lists this ribosomal RNA (253 nucleotides) under uncultured bacterium. RNAcentral describes it as "partial 16S ribosomal RNA". It matches the Rfam family "Bacterial small subunit ribosomal RNA", at positions 524 to 776 of the family's 1533-position model. The record is from RNAcentral.
UACGGAGGGCGCGAGCGUUAAUCGGAAUUACUGGGCGUAAAGCGCGCGUAGGCUGUUGUGUAAGUUGGGGGUGAAAUCCCACGGCUCAACCGUGGAACAGCCCUUGAUACUGCGCGGCUUGAAUCCGGGAGAGGGUGGCGGAAUUCCAGGUGUAGGAGUGAAAUCCGUAGAUAUCUGGAGGAACAUCAGUGGCGAAGGCGGCCACCUGGACCGGUAUUGACGCUGAGGCGCGAAAGCGUGGGGAGCAAACAGG